This 464-nucleotide ribosomal RNA is filed under the name Vreelandella stevensii. RNAcentral describes it as "partial 16S ribosomal RNA". It matches the Rfam family "Bacterial small subunit ribosomal RNA", at positions 338 to 795 of the family's 1533-position model. Lineage: Bacteria; Pseudomonadati; Pseudomonadota; Gammaproteobacteria; Oceanospirillales; Halomonadaceae. The record is from RNAcentral.
CCUACGGGGGGCAGCAGUGGGGAAUAUUGGACAAUGGGGGAACCCUGAUCCAGCCAUGCCGCGUGUGUGAAGAAGGCCCUCGGGUUGUAAAGCACUUUCAGUGAGGAAGAACGCCUGGUGGUUAAUACCCAUCAGGAAAGACAUCACUCACAGAAGAAGCACCGGCUAACUCCGUGCCAGCAGCCGCGGUAAUACGGAGGGUGCGAGCGUUAAUCGGAAUUACUGGGCGUAAAGCGCGCGUAGGUGGCUUGAUAAGCCGGUUGUGAAAGCCCCGGGCUCAACCUGGGAACGGCAUCCGGAACUGUCAAGCUAGAGUGCAGGAGAGGAAGGUAGAAUUCCCGGUGUAGCGGUGAAAUGCGUAGAGAUCGGGAGGAAUACCAGUGGCGAAGGCGGCCUUCUGGACUGACACUGACACUGAGGUGCGAAAGCGUGGGUAGCAAACAGGAUUAGAUACCCUAGUAGUC